This 690-nucleotide ribosomal RNA is filed under the name Pseudomonas sp. RNAcentral's name for it is "bacterial SSU rRNA". It matches the Rfam family "Bacterial small subunit ribosomal RNA", at positions 60 to 745 of the family's 1533-position model. The record is from RNAcentral. Lineage: Bacteria; Pseudomonadati; Pseudomonadota; Gammaproteobacteria; Pseudomonadales; Pseudomonadaceae.
AGUCGAGCGGAUGAGAAGAGCUUGCUCUUCGAUUCAGCGGCGGACGGGUGAGUAAUACCUAGGAAUCUGCCUGGUAGUGGGGGACAACGUUUCGAAAGGAACGCUAAUACCGCAUACGUCCUACGGGAGAAAGCAGGGGACCUUCGGGCCUUGCGCUAUCAGAUGAGCCUAGGUCGGAUUAGCUAGUUGGUGAGGUAAUGGCUCACCAAGGCUACGAUCCGUAACUGGUCUGAGAGGAUGAUCAGUCACACUGGAACUGAGACACGGUCCAGACUCCUACGGGAGGCAGCAGUGGGGAAUAUUGGACAAUGGGCGAAAGCCUGAUCCAGCCAUGCCGCGUGUGUGAAGAAGGUCUUCGGAUUGUAAAGCACUUUAAGUUGGGAGGAAGGGCAGUAAGCGAAUACCUUGCUGUUUUGACGUUACCGACAGAAUAAGCACCGGCUAACUCUGUGCCAGCAGCCGCGGUAAUACAGAGGGUGCAAGCGUUAAUCGGAAUUACUGGGCGUAAAGCGCGCGUAGGUGGUUCGUUAAGUUGGAUGUGAAAUCCCCGGGCUCAACCUGGGAACUGCAUCCAAAACUGGCGAGCUAGAGUAGGGCAGAGGGUGGUGGAAUUUCCUGUGUAGCGGUGAAAUGCGUAGAUAUAGGAAGGAACACCAGUGGCGAAGGCGACCACCUGGGCUCAUACUGACA